This 525-nucleotide long non-coding RNA is filed under the name Fukomys damarensis (Damara mole-rat). Its description in RNAcentral is "lncRNA (ENSFDAG00000033420.1)". The record is from RNAcentral. Lineage: Eukaryota; Metazoa; Chordata; Mammalia; Rodentia; Bathyergidae.
GUGCUGUAUGGCGUUGAGUGCGCGACAAGGGCUCCGGCGCCCGUUGUGUUCUCUGAGAGCUGAGCUGAGCCCCAGAGCUGAGGCCCAAGACUGUGGAGGUGCACGUGCUCCGAAGCGGGGCUACACUGUCAACUCAGGACGUACAAGCCCUGAACCGUGCUGCUGAGCAGCCCCAUUCAGAAGUCCCCCUUAGCAAGACCCUGUCACUGGAGAGCCGUCCAGACUGCAGAGCUCUGCUGCAAGGGGAGCAAGACUGCUUCCCGCUUUCUGUUACACCACCCCACCUAGUCUGCAGUGAUUUCUUUAAAACAAGGCACAACUCGGAGGUGUCACCAGGUGCCCCCUCACCACAUGCCACGCUCAGGCCCUGAAGGAGGCAUCCAUUCCAGUUCCAGGACAUCAAGGAAAACUUUGCAGAAGGGUCUUCUCCCAAGAAACACCCUUCCUGGGCAGCCUGGGUGCCCACAUGGUUGGAGGAUUCUCAGGUAUUCUUAAGAGCCUUUUUGAUGACAGCCAGCUUUACAC